AUGUAAUACAUGUGGAAGGAUGUUCAUCACAGUGUUGUUCAUAAAACAGAAACAAUAGUAACUAUGAAUCCAGAGAAAAUUAGCUAAAUAAAUGAAACAUUCCACAGAAGAAUUCUCAGGUGGGAGACAUUACCAAUUUCUGGUUCUCUUCGCCUUCCCUGAGGCACACAGAAGAUUAUAUAUCCCAGGCUUCCUGAAGUUAGAUGGCACCAUGUGACUACUUCUGGUCAGAGGACCAGGAACAAAGUGUUUCAGGUUGACUUUUAGACCAAGGCCGUGGAACGCCUUUGUGUAAUGUUCCAGCACUUUUCCCCUGCUGCAGUGACCAGAAGUCCCUCACCAAGAUGAGAACCAUAAGAUGGAAGAGGCAUGGAUCUGAGAGUCACCAUUUAGGAACACCGGACCCACAGCCAACUGUAGAUAAUCUCCUAUGAAAGAACAAAAAAUGUAUCACCCCCACACCUCAAAAGAGUGACGGGCCCUAAUCCUUAGGUCUACAUUCCAGGUUGCAGAGUCAAAAGAGCUUGCACUGUUGCUUCCUCCACCCACCUCUUCAACAGCCAGGAGCAGAAGAAUUCCCUAAUGAUAACUCCUAAAGAGACACUUAAAGUUCAAAGCUCUAGCACAUGAUGAAAGUAAGUUGAAUGACCUAAAGAGGAGAAAUAUGGAGAUGGUGCACCCUGACGAUUAGGAAGGGAAGCUCCAAGGCUUCUGAAAGAGUGAAUCUCCCGAACUUAAAUAAGAUAAUGAUGCUAAAUGCCCUACACAAAAUGGAAUCUCUCUGAGACAAGCCGGUCCUCAAAAAGCCUGGCAACAUGGGCACUUAUAAGGACUUGGUGUUAAGCACAGAGCCUCGGUAACCUCAGCAAAGACACUUCGUGGCAGAGAUGGAAAAGUGGAGCCAUCUUGUCUUGAUGGAUCAUGAAACCAUGGUGGGGAGCCAGGGCCACAGGAAUUAUUGUGCACUAAUGACCCAUGCCUUGCCAGACAUAAAAGACUCAGA
Molecule: long non-coding RNA, 1003 nt
Filed under: Homo sapiens (human)
Lineage: Eukaryota; Metazoa; Chordata; Mammalia; Primates; Hominidae
Description: non-protein coding lnc-SAMD12-1:1
Source: RNAcentral